UUGAAUGCCCCUUUAAAAGUUUUUGGGGCCCGAACGGCGCGUUAACAUGACGGAGGCCAGGGGAUUAAUUCCUUGCCCGGAAGGCCCGGGGUAAUUCUUGUUAAAUUCCUCGUGCUGGGGAUAGAACAAUUGCCAAUUAUUUGCUCUUCAACGAGGAAUCCUAGUAAGCGCAAGAAUCAGCUUGCGUUGAUUACGUCCCUGCCCUUUGUACACACCGCCCGUCGCUACUACCGAAUUGAAUGGCUCAGUGAGGGCGUCCGGACUGGCCCAGGGAGGUGGGCAACUACCACCCAGGGCCGGAAAGCUCUCCAAACUCGGUCAUUUAGAGGAAGUAAAAGUCGUAACAAGGUCUCCGUUGGUGAACCAGCGGAGGGAUCAUUACCGAGUUAUCCAACUCCCAACCCCUGUGAAUUAUACCUUUAAUUGUUGCUUCGGCGGGACUUCGCGCCCGCCGGGGACCCAAACCUUCUGAAUUUUUUAAUAAGUAUCUUCUGAGUGGUUAAAAAAAUGAAUCAAAACUUUCAACAACGGAUCUCUUGGUUCUGGCAUCGAUGAAGAACGCAGCGAAAUGCGAUAAGUAAUGUGAAUUGCAGAAUUCAGUGAAUCAUCGAAUCUUUGAACGCACAUUGCGCCCGUCAGUAUUCUGGCGGGCAUGCCUGUUCGAGCGUCAUUACGCCCCUCAAGUCCCCUGUGGACUUGGUGUUGGGGAUCGGCGAGGCUGGUUUUCCAGCGCAGCCGUCCCUCAAAUCAAUUGGCGGUCUCGCCGUGGCCCUCCUCUGCGCAGUAGUAAAACACUCGCAACAGGAGCCCGGCGCGGUCCACUGCCGUAAAACCCCCCAACUUUUUAUAGUUGACCUCGAAUCAGGUAGGACUACCCGCUGAACUUAAGCAUAUCAAUAAGCGGAGGAAAAGAAACCAACAGGGAUUGCCCCAGUAACGGCGAGUGAAGCGGCAACAGCUCAAAUUUGAAAUCUGGUCCCCAGGGCCCGAGUUGUAAUUUGCAGAGGAUGCUUUUGGUGAGGUGCCUUCCGAGUUCCCUGGAACGGGACGCCAUAGAGGGUGAGAGCCCCGUCUGGUUGGAUACCGAGCCUCUGUAAAGCUCUUCGACAGUCGAGUAGUUUGGGAAUUGUGCUAAAUGGGAGGAUAUGUUUCUAAGCUAAUUUUGGCCA
This 1169-nucleotide ribosomal RNA is filed under the name Metarhizium anisopliae. RNAcentral describes it as "eukaryotic LSU rRNA". The stretch from base 1 to 381 matches the Rfam family "Eukaryotic small subunit ribosomal RNA", at positions 1177 to 1831 of the family's 1831-position model. Lineage: Eukaryota; Fungi; Ascomycota; Sordariomycetes; Hypocreales; Clavicipitaceae. The record is from RNAcentral.